Non-coding RNA from Oncorhynchus mykiss (rainbow trout), 243 nucleotides. The record is from RefSeq and is a predicted model, not a curated record. Lineage: Eukaryota; Metazoa; Chordata; Actinopteri; Salmoniformes; Salmonidae.
GUGUAUUGACAUGUUAGACAGAUGUUGUCCAGGUGUAUUGACAUGUUAGACAGAUGUUGCCCAGGUGUAUUGACAUGUUAGACAGAUGUUGUCCAGGUGUAUUGACAUGUUAGACAGAUGUUGUCCAGGUGUAUUGACAUGUUAGAGAGAUGUUGUCCAGGUGUAUUGACAUGUUAGACAGAUGUUGUCCAGGUGUAUUGACCAGAUAGACAGAUGUUGUCCAGGUGUAUUGACCAGAUAGAC